GCAAGUCGAACGGUAACAGCAGAGAGCUUGCUUUCUGGUUGACGAGUGGCGAACGGGUGAGUAACGCGUAGGAAUUUGCCUGAUAGUGGGGGACAACCUGGUGAAAACCAGGCUAAUACCGCAUACGCCCUAUGGGGGAAAGCGGAGGAUCUUCGGACUUCGUGCUAUCAGAUAAGCCUGCGUUAGAUUAGCUUGUUGGUAGGGUAAUGGCCUACCAAGGCGACGAUCUAUAGCUGGUUUGAGAGGAUGAUC
RNAcentral lists this ribosomal RNA (252 nucleotides) under uncultured bacterium. Its description in RNAcentral is "partial 16S ribosomal RNA". It matches the Rfam family "Bacterial small subunit ribosomal RNA", at positions 57 to 305 of the family's 1533-position model. The record is from RNAcentral.